UGGAACUGAGACACGGUCCAGACUCCUACGGGAGGCAGCAGUGGGGAAUUUUGGACAAUGGGCGCAAGCCUGAUCCAGCCAUGCCGCGUGAGUGAAGAAGGCCUUCGGGUUGUAAAGCUCUUUCAGACGGAAAGAAACGGUCACGGCUAAUAACUGUGGCUAAUGACGGUACCGUAAGAAGAAGCACCGGCUAACUACGUGCCAGCAGCCGCGGUAA
Molecule: ribosomal RNA, 217 nt
Filed under: uncultured bacterium
Lineage: Bacteria
Description: partial 16S ribosomal RNA
Rfam family: Bacterial small subunit ribosomal RNA
Source: RNAcentral